CAGAUACCCAUAAAUUCAACACACAGAUGGUAGACGAAUUCCACUCAGCCUCAUGCAUCUCCUAGGAAAAAAUCCCAAGAUUAACUCAGUUUUAACACCAUGUUCUCUGGGUCCACAAAGGAACAUGGCUGGAAAAGCAAAUACAGCACCUGCACAGUGCUCCUAAAAAUGCUGGAGAGUAAGGACAUCCGUGUAGUAGCCACAGUUGACAAGACCUAGAGCAUGGGAGCUCACUUAUGGCUACUACGGGCAUGUGGAC
Molecule: long non-coding RNA, 259 nt
Organism: Canis lupus familiaris (dog)
Lineage: Eukaryota; Metazoa; Chordata; Mammalia; Carnivora; Canidae
Exons: 3
Source: RefSeq, a predicted model, not a curated record